CUUAUUAUAAUAAAGGUUACUCCCUUGUUCGUUAUAGCCUUCAUCUUAUUAUAUUAAAGGUUACUCCCUUCUUCGUUAUAGCCUUCAUCUUAUUAUAUUAAAGGUUACUCCCUUCUUCGUUAUGGCCUUCAUCUUAUUAUAUUAAAGGUUACUCCCUUCUUCGUUAUAGCCUUCAUCUUAUUAUAUUAAAGGUUACUCCCUUCUUCGUUAUGGCCUUCAUCUUAUUAUAUUAAAGGUUACUCCCUUGUUCGUUAUAGCCUUCAUCUUAUUAUAUUAAAGGUUACUCCCUUGUUCGUUAUAGCCUUCAUCUUAUUAUAUUAAAGGUUACUCCCUUCUUCGUUAUAGCCUUCAUCUUAUUAUAUUAAAGGUUACUCCCUUGUUCGUUAUGGCCUUCAUCUUAUUAUAUUAAAGGUUACUCCCUUGUUCGUUAUGGCCUUCAUCUUAUUAUAUUAAAGGUUACUCCCUUCUUCGUUAUAGCCUUCAUCUUAUUAUAUUAAAGGUUACUCCCUGUUUUGUUCUUCGCUCAUUUUCCGUUUUUUCCACUGCAAAUGUGCAUAUUUAUUUAUUUAUUUAUUUAUUUUCAUUUGUUUAUUUAAUGUUAUUUGUAGUAGUUAACUGAGGGGGGCACUACCCUGGCCUCCUCUUCCUCUGAUUCUCUUACUUCACACAUUUAUCUUAAUACUUCACACUAUUGUCCAUAUGCUUCAUUUUUUUUUUUCAUUCAUGACUUUUUAUCCAUACCUCACACUUUUCUUAGUAUUUCACAUUUUUUCUAGAUCAUACUCUACACUUCCCACCUGGGGGACGCGGGUUAGGCCUUUAUAAAGUCACUCUGUGGCUGCAUGUCCGCCGCGGCACACCGCCACCCUGUGAGGCGUAGAGCCCCGUGCUCCCCUCCAUCCUGGGGUAACAAUCCUAAAACAAACAAACCUGAGAGGCGGGAUGCUGCCGCUGCCUGUCACCUGACACCCUCUCGCUGAUGAAUGGAUCGCGGCGCGGGUGGAGAGAGACUGCCCAUCCCUCUCCACUCCGCCCGGGAAGGAACUCAUGAAUUCUCGGUUGAGUCGCGUGUGCUACCCAUUGCACUACAGAACAACAGUGGUUGGCCAGAGUUUCCAUUACCAUAUCGUCAAAGUCCAUGUCCUCCGGAAGAACCAUUAAUUAUAUAAUUAAAUCGUCACUAUUAUUUCCGCCACUUAAAACGAGCAAAGCUUAAUGAAAAUAAGAGGCGUUUUCUCGUCAGAGUAAAUUAAACAAAAGCACUGUAAGCACAUGUCCCUAUUUAUCCCUAUACCGCUGCCGCCAGUUUUAGACCCUUCUUUUCUUGUAUUAAAUCAACUCUUUUAUCACUCAUUAAUUACUCCAUAAAUGAUUUCACCGUCUCGUAUCCCUGGUAGCGUGAUCCGGCUUAAGUUGUUAUUGGAGACUGGUGUUCGGGGAUAAACAAGGGAAAAAGAAAAUAUACAUUUAUUUAAAAUUAAAUGAAAGUAAUUGCCUUACGCAAUAUUCUAUGCUCAGACGAUCAUAACACUGGCAUAUUCAGCAAUGGAUACAACAUAUGACAAACGACAUGUCUUUAAACAUAAUACUACAAUUUGUGCUCAGUUGUUGCCAAUAAUAAUAACACUCGUCAUUCCACAAGCAGUGGUUUGUAUCUCUCUGCUUACAUCACAAUAUUUAAAUACUCUCCUCACAUCCUGAUAACACAUUCCUAUAGUAUAAUCUACUACAAUUUCACGGAAGCACCAAAUUAUACCACACCCAGUGCUUUCUACCUUUGCUUUACUUCGCAAACAAAUAAUCACAAUCCUGUCCCACUCACAAUCCUACUUCACAUCUCCUACAUUAUAAUCUCCAGGACAAUACAGUCGGUUUCUCUUAGAUUCUCGAAUUUCUACUCACGAUUAAGAUCACAACAGCCAUUCUCAGCUGAGUGAGUAGCAAGUCUGCUUGAAGCGAGUGCAAGGCUCGGUCUGCCCAUAUCACUGUUGUCUAGGUCACAUUUUUCCUUGCUUGAGGCGGAACUACAUCUUUGACACGCCUUCAUUUUCUACAUAACCAGUAGCCAAUACUUCCUGUCAACAACCAUUGGCUCGCUCAUUAUGUUAUAUUGUUUACUUCUCCUACUAUUUGUUAUUUCACUCUUAAGACACUCCCACAGUGACUUCUCUUUUCAGUUAUUCGCUUAUAGCAUUUCGUCACACCGCACGUGACAUGUUAGAGUCCUCUUGAAUGGUUAUCCACACUUCCUGACCACGCCUACUGGGUAUCUGCUUUCUGUAUGUGGGUCUGGGUAUUUUCCAUAACCUCUCAGUAGUGUUAGUGCUUAUCAGAUGUUUACAACUUUGUAUAUCUGACUAAUUGCUUUCCUUCCCUCUCCUGUCAUAUUUACAAUUCUUGUCUCCAUAUCUCCACUCGGUAUUUGCCUCUGAUUGGGGUCACUUUUAAUUAACUGUGCUGCUAUGGUCGUCUUCUGUUUGUCCAUAUUCUGGGUCCCAACAAAAUUGGUAGGGAGGAGGAAGAAGGUGGUGUGUGUGUGUGUAUGUGUGUGUGUGUGGCUGGAGGGAGGCAGCUAUUAGCAAGUUCAGAACAGCAGUGACUAUGAAAUUAAGGCAUAGAAGAUAGGAAUUAAAGAAGAAUGAGUGUGAUGGCAGUGACUUAGAGAGGACUGAGUGAAGCAAAUGGCAGUCAGGACAAAAUGCAGAAAUAAUUAAGGAAGGACAAGUAUUUCAGAGUUUACCAGGGAAAGGGAUGUAAAAAAGUGAUGAUUUUGGUUAACUCAGGCAUUAGGAAGUUAAAUAGCAGAGGAAUGAGCUUGAGCAGAAAGCCUUGGGCACUGCAGAAGGCAGGAAGGAAGCAGCUGUUAGCAAGUUCUGAACAGCAGUGACAAUGAGAUGAUGGCACAGAAGACAGCACAGGAAGGGAAGAAUUUGAGUGUGGUGACAGGGACUUAGGAAGAUGAUUUAGGACAGAUUGUAAAUGCUUCAUGUGGAAGAGUGCAGCAGCUGAGUAUUGUAAAGGAUAGGGAAAAGUUGCGUGAAAGGCUGCGUCAAGUUGGCAGACGAUGAAGUUAAGGUCCAUAUUGUCAAACUCCUCACAGGCUUGCUCCAUCUAUUUCAAAAGGCUCUCGCAGAGGUUGUUGGGGUUUCCAUGGGCGGUUUCCUGAGCCUGGCGGUAGUUUUGCAUGGCUUCUGUGCCUUGAAGGAGAAAACACCCAAGACAACCCAGUUACUCUUCCCUGUGGGCUUGGGAAAUAGGUGCAGUGGGAGCCUGAUACAUUUAGGAAGACAGGGACACAGAGAUACAGACAAACAGAGAUGCAGGGUGGUGUUGCCGAUAGUUUCACACGGCUGCUGCACCCUGAACGGGAAAACACCACCCAGGAAAACACGGUUAGCCUUCUCUGUGGCCUUGGGGAAUAGUAACAGUGGGAGCCUGAUAUGCUUAGGACCAUAGGCUGACUUACAGCGCCUCAUUUUGGGUGUUGAUGACAUAGAAUCUCUCUCUCUCUUUCUCUCUCUCUCUCUCACACACACACACACACACACACACUCACACACAAACACACAAUUACACUGGAGUGAAAAACAGUAUGCACAUGGAGGAAGAAGAGGAGGAGGAAGAGAAGGUGAAAAAUUGAUAAUAUGAACUUCAAAAAUAUAUCAUCCAUGUAAAAGUUAAUCUAAAUUCAGCCUUUAAAAAUUGUAACAAUUCUGCCAUACAUCAAUGCACUCAUGUUAUAUUAAGUGUUCUCUUCACAGUGUCCUCAUGAUAUCAGGCUGUGUGGUGGACCGUCCCUUCCUGAGUGGACAAUAGUCGUGUGGCAGGCUGGGCCAAGGUGCCAGAAGAAGACAUUAAGUUUUUGAGAGAUGGGAUGAGAAGUUUUCAGGUAAGAACUUGCGAUAAGGACAGAGCAAGGGUGUUUGCUGUAGAGGAGAGGGCACAGCUGCAUGUCACCAAAGAAUAAUCUUGAUAGGGGAAUGCUUUGCCUGGGAUUCUUACACACUACUGACCCUCACACACCAGCUAUUUCUUAAGGCAAAGAGAGAGGUAAAAUGCAUUCUCAGGAGUGGUAAUUAGAGUUCAUGGCACAGAAGCCUUGUCAAACUGCCACCAGGGUCACAAAACUACCUACGGAAAGGCCCACAACUCCUACAAAAGUCACGUCACGUGUGUGUUUGGGCGCUGGAAUCUCUAAAUAACGUGGCCCAUUGCCCGCUCAGAACAGAUGGCAUCACUGUAAAUACUCACCUGCCCUGCGCCAUGACGGGCUCGGGCCGACCACCAGGCCCCUAAAGAAGGCC
Eriocheir sinensis (Chinese mitten crab) is the source of this 4304-nucleotide long non-coding RNA. RefSeq lists it as uncharacterized. The record is from RefSeq and is a predicted model, not a curated record. The transcript is spliced from 4 exons. Lineage: Eukaryota; Metazoa; Arthropoda; Malacostraca; Decapoda; Varunidae.